AUGGUGGUCACUUUAAGACACUUUAGCAUGUUGGGAAGGCAGUUGGAGAAGCUCUUAGCCACUGUCUUGAACUCAGGGUCUGGAGCAGGUGGCUGGAGACUUUUCUGUUCAACUCCACAGUGCUCUCUGAAUCCCAGAUACAGGCUUGAUGGAGGAGUAUCAGAGAGUGUUAUUGGGAUCGAAUUUUCUGUUUUGUAGUUCUUUCUGGCAAUGGAGUGAUGAUAAACUAAUG
This 232-nucleotide long non-coding RNA is filed under the name Monodelphis domestica (gray short-tailed opossum). RNAcentral describes it as "lncRNA (ENSMODG00000033110.2)". The record is from RNAcentral. Lineage: Eukaryota; Metazoa; Chordata; Mammalia; Didelphimorphia; Didelphidae.